AAAGCCAUGCGAGUCAACAUAGCCAAUAUGUGGCAUACGGCUCAGUAACACGUAGUCAACAUGCCCAGGGGACGUGGAUAACCUCGGGAAACUGAGGAUAAACCGCGAUAAGUCACUACUUCUGGAAUGGGUAAUGACUCAAAUCUAUAUGGCCCCUGGAUUGGACUGCGGCCGAUCAGGCUGUUGGUGAGGUAAUGGCCCACCAAACCUGUAACCGGUACGGGCUCUGAGAGGAGGAGCCCGGAGAUGGGCACUGAGACAAGGGCCCAGGCCCUAUGGGGCGCAGCAGGCGCGAAACCUCUGCAAUAGGCGAAAGCUUGACAGGGUUACUCUGAGUGAUUUCCGUUAAGGAAAUCUUUUGGCACCUCUAAAAAUGGUGCAGAAUAAGGGGUGGGCAAGUCUGGUGUCAGCCGCCGCGGUAAUACCAGCACCCCGAGUGGUCGGGACGUUUAUUGGGCCUAAAGCAUCCGUAGCCGGUUCUACAAGUCUUCCGUUAAAUCCAACUGCUUAACAGGUGGGCUGCGGAAGAUACUAUAGAGCUAGGAGGCGGGAGAGGCAAGCGGUACUCGAUGGGUAGGGGUAAAAUCCGUUGAUCCAUUGAAGACCACCAGUGGCGAAGGCGGCUUGCCAGAACGCGCUCGACGGUGAGGGAUGAAAGCUGGGGGAGCAAACCGGAUUAGAUACCCGGGUAGUCCCAGCUGUAAACGAUGCAGACUCGGUGAUGAGUUGGCUAUAUGCCAACUCAGUGCCGCAGGGAAGCCGUUAAGUUUGCCGCCUGGGGAGUACGGUCGCAAGACUGAAACUUAAAGGAAUUGGCGGGGGAGCACCACAAAGGGUGAAACCUGCGGUUCAAUUGGAUCC
This 861-nucleotide ribosomal RNA is filed under the name uncultured archaeon. RNAcentral describes it as "bacterial SSU rRNA". It matches the Rfam family "Archaeal small subunit ribosomal RNA", at positions 45 to 913 of the family's 1478-position model. The record is from RNAcentral.